Molecule: long non-coding RNA, 909 nt
Organism: Lemur catta (Ring-tailed lemur)
Lineage: Eukaryota; Metazoa; Chordata; Mammalia; Primates; Lemuridae
Exons: 2
Source: RefSeq, a predicted model, not a curated record
GAUGCUCAAAAUUAAAAAAAAAUAAAUCAAAAUAUUUUUUAGCUACUUUUGUCAAAAAGCUAAAUAUUUUGUAAGGUCUCAAUAUGCAUGUCGGCCCUCUCUUUAUCACGCUGUAACACACCAUCUCUUGGGUUUUGCCGUGACAGUAGGUAACAAGGCUUCCAGGCUCUCUUCAAUGCCUCCAAGCUCCCCUUUCUCCAAACACAAAAGGAAGAUGAAAACUACAAAUCCCCAUCUGCCCACCCUACAGUUCCUGGGAAGAGACAGUCCUCAAAUUGUUCCUGCUUAGACCCCUGAAGCUUGGAGAAGGAGAUGGGGACAAGUGUGGCAGCGGGAUGAUGGGGACCCUGCUUCCUGCGCUGUGUGGCUUGCGUCUUGCACCGACAGCACUGGUGACAGCGCCAGUCUCACUCUUGGCCAGUGGCAAACAUUCCCAUCUCUUUUGUUUCUCCAUUCCUCAGCCGUUUAGAAUAGGAAUUAAUCAAUGUCUCGAAAUGGGAUGUUUCAAAAUGUUACAUUAAAGCUCAAUUCCACCAUUGAAAAUAUUUGUUAUAUGUUUUUCUUAUUAUAUACAUUUACUAGCCCUAAACCAAAUCUAACUGUAUUUUGUACAACACUUAGUACACAAUCUAUUUUAACAGAACUCUAAGACAAACUUUCAAUGAUUAGCAAACUUUAUGAUGUAUAACCUACUAAUUUUAUUGAAUGGAUUUUCUUUCAAAAUAAAUUAUGUAAUUACAUCUUUUUAAAUCAUAUACAUUUUUAAAACUUCUAUUUUCAUUUUAAACUCAAUUAUAAAAUAUUAUCAUAAUAAUGUACAUUGUACCUGAAAAGCCCUAACCUCAGCAUGAUAUAAUUCAUCCAUAUAACCCAAAAUACUUGUACUCCCUAAAUCUAUUGAAAUAAAAA